This 503-nucleotide ribosomal RNA is filed under the name uncultured Anaerolineaceae bacterium. RNAcentral's name for it is "bacterial SSU rRNA". It matches the Rfam family "Bacterial small subunit ribosomal RNA", at positions 8 to 526 of the family's 1533-position model. The record is from RNAcentral. Lineage: Bacteria; Bacillati; Chloroflexota; Anaerolineae; Anaerolineales; Anaerolineaceae.
AGAGUUUGAUCCUGGCUCAGGAUGAACGCUGGCGGCGUGCCUAAUACAUGCAAGUCGAACGGAGACUGUUUAGCAAUAAGCAGUUUCAGUGGCGAACGGGUGAGUAACACGUUGGUGACCUGCCCCAAAGUGUGGAUACCAGUCCGAAAGGAUUGUUAAUACCGCAUGUGGUCUUCGGGAUUAGAUGCCUGAUGACUAAAGGAGUAAUUCGCUUUGGGAGGGACCUGCGUCCCAUCAGCUAGUUGGUAAGGUAACGGCCUACCAAGGCGAUGACGGGUAGGGGACCUGAGAGGGUGGCCCCCCACAAUGGAACUGAAACACGGUCCAUACACCUACGGGUGGCAGCAGUAGGGAAUAUUGCAUAAUGGGCGAAAGCCUGAUGCAGCAACGCCGCGUGCGCGAUGAAGGCCUUCGGGUCGUAAAGCGCUUUUUGGAGGGAUGAGGAAGGACAGUACCUCCAGAAUAAGUCUCGGCUAACUACGUGCCAGCAGCCGCGGUAAUAC